RNAcentral lists this long non-coding RNA (739 nucleotides) under Triticum aestivum (bread wheat). RNAcentral's name for it is "long non-coding RNA (TAES_LNC019038)". The record is from RNAcentral. Lineage: Eukaryota; Viridiplantae; Streptophyta; Magnoliopsida; Poales; Poaceae.
GGAGAGCAUUCAGUGUCGGAUUUCCUACUAUGUAUCGUCCUUCUUUCAUUUGUGGUCCAUUGUUUUCUAUUGUUGGUUUACAGGUUUGGAAGGCAGCCAUGCUGCUAACCUGACUUUGUGUUGCACAAGAGCUUCACGUCGUCUGAAUGCGACGGUGUUACUGCCAUGGAGAUCGGUGUUGGGAUAGGUGAUGGCUUGCUAUGAAAUUUAGUGAAUGAGAAAAUUGACUUAUUGCUGUGCUUGUACAACUGUGUAAUUUUUCUGAUUUUUUAUUUGUUUUUGUGAAGGUCAAAAUGUUGUGUCCGAGAAGUUCAAGUAUGUUAGUUUAUAUUGUAUUAUUGAGAAGCUCCAACUUGUUGUAGGAGUGCAUUGAGAAACAGAGUGAAAAUAUCUAUAAAAAUGUAAGUUCGGGAGGAUUAAAAAGGAAAAGGAAGAAAGAAAAAGCUCACACUUUUGUCGUUGAUAUUUACAGUGACAAAUAAGCAACAAGUUCAUGUUUGUCAACCAUUGAAGUUCAUGUAUAUGGUAGUUGAUGAUUGUUGUGUGCACUUAGGGGAGCACAAAAAAAUGCGGCUGGCCAAGGUCCGUGGAUGUUGAACUUUCGUUCAGUGAGUGGCGUGUGUCUCAAAAACAAAUUGUGUUCACAAAAACAAAAACAAAAAAAGAUGCAAAAAAGAGACAAACCCAAGUAUUUUCGUAGGGAAAAUAAUGACAAGUUCAAAUUGUUCAAAUAUGGAAG